AUCUUGCUGAUGAGUCCCAAGUAGGACAAAACGCGCAUCCCAGAU
Molecule: non-coding RNA, 45 nt
Organism: Schistosoma margrebowiei
Lineage: Eukaryota; Metazoa; Platyhelminthes; Trematoda; Strigeidida; Schistosomatidae
Source: Rfam